GACGUAGGGCGCGAGCGUUGUCCGGAUUUAUUGGGCGUAAAGAGCUCGUAGGCGGCUUGUCGCGUCGUCUGUGAAAUCUCGCGGCUCAACUGCGGGCUGGCAGUCGAUACGGGCAGGCUGGAGUUCGGUAGGGGAGACUGGAAUUCCCGGUGUAGCGGUGAAAUGCGCAGAUAUCGGGAGGAACACCGGUGGCGAAGGCGGUUCUCUGGGCCUGACCUGACGCUGAGGAGCGAAAGCGUGGGGAGCGAACAGG
This 253-nucleotide ribosomal RNA is filed under the name uncultured bacterium. RNAcentral describes it as "partial 16S ribosomal RNA". It matches the Rfam family "Bacterial small subunit ribosomal RNA", at positions 524 to 776 of the family's 1533-position model. The record is from RNAcentral.